UAACACGUGAGGAACGUGCCCCACGAGACCGGGAUAAGCCGAGGAAACUUGGUCUAAUACCGGAUGUCCCCACCGGAUCGCAUGGUCUGGUGAGGAAAUGGAUUCCGCUCUGGGAGCGCCUCGCGGCCUAUCAGCUAGUUGGUGAGGUAACGGCCCACCAAGGCGUCGACGGGUAGCUGGUCUGAGAGGAUGAUCAGCCACACUGGGACUGAGACACGGCCCAG
This 224-nucleotide ribosomal RNA is filed under the name uncultured bacterium. Its description in RNAcentral is "partial 16S ribosomal RNA". It matches the Rfam family "Bacterial small subunit ribosomal RNA", at positions 111 to 334 of the family's 1533-position model. The record is from RNAcentral.